This 691-nucleotide ribosomal RNA is filed under the name Escherichia coli. Its description in RNAcentral is "partial 23S ribosomal RNA". It matches the Rfam family "Bacterial large subunit ribosomal RNA", at positions 2096 to 2786 of the family's 2925-position model. Lineage: Bacteria; Pseudomonadati; Pseudomonadota; Gammaproteobacteria; Enterobacterales; Enterobacteriaceae. The record is from RNAcentral.
AACCUUUACUAUAGCUUGACACUGAACAUUGAGCCUUGAUGUGUAGGAUAGGUGGGAGGCUUAGAAGUGUGGACGCCAGUCUGCAUGGAGCCGACCUUGAAAUACCACCCUUUAAUGUUUGAUGUUCUAACGUUGACCCGUGAUCCGGGUUGCGGACAGUGUCUGGUGGGUAGUUUGACUGGGGCGGUCUCCUCCUAAAGAGUAACGGAGGAGCACGAAGGUUGGCUAAUCCUGGUCGGACAUCAGGAGGUUAGUGCAAUGGCAUAAGCCAGCUUGACUGCGAGCGUGACGGCGCGAGCAGGUGCGAAAGCAGGUCAUAGUGAUCCGGUGGUUCUGAAUGGAAGGGCCAUCGCUCAACGGAUAAAAGGUACUCCGGGGAUAACAGGCUGAUACCGCCCAAGAGUUCAUAUCGACGGCGGUGUUUGGCACCUCGAUGUCGGCUCAUCACAUCCUGGGGCUGAAGUAGGUCCCAAGGGUAUGGCUGUUCGCCAUUUAAAGUGGUACGCGAGCUGGGUUUAGAACGUCGUGAGACAGUUCGGUCCCUAUCUGCCGUGGGCGCUGGAGAACUGAGGGGGGCUGCUCCUAGUACGAGAGGACCGGAGUGGACGCAUCACUGGUGUUCGGGUUGUCAUGCCAAUGGCACUGCCCGGUAGCUAAAUGCGGAAGAGAUAAGUGCUGAAAGCAUCUAAGC